RNAcentral lists this ribosomal RNA (497 nucleotides) under uncultured bacterium. RNAcentral's name for it is "partial 16S ribosomal RNA". It matches the Rfam family "Bacterial small subunit ribosomal RNA", at positions 28 to 507 of the family's 1533-position model. The record is from RNAcentral.
GAUGAACGCUGGCGGCGUGCCUAAUACAUGCAAGUCGAGCGAACGGACGAGAAGCUUGCUUCUCUGAUGUUAGCGGCGGACGGGUGAGUAACACGUGGAUAACCUACCUAUAAGACUGGGAUAACUUCGGGAAACCGUAGCUAAUACCGGAUAAUAUUUUGAACCGCAUGGUUCAAAAGUGAAAGACGGUCUUGCUGUCACUUAUAGAUGGAUCCGCGCUGCAUUAGCUAGUUGGUAAGGUAACGGCUUACCAAGGCAACGAUGCAUAGCCGACCUGAGAGGGUGAUCGGCCACACGGGAACUGAGACACGGUCCAGACUCCUACGGGAGGCAGCAGUAGGGAAUCUUCCGCAAUGGGCGAAAGCCUGACGGAGCAACGCCGCGUGAGUGAUGAAGGUCUUCGGAUCGUAAAACUCUGUUAUUAGGGAAGAACAUAUGUGUAAGUAACUGUGCACAUCUUGACGGUACCUAAUCAGAAAGCCACGGAUAACUACGUG